GAAUUAACGAUCACUAAGCCCUGGGUCCUGUGCAAUGCUAUUAGCUCUCUGUAUGUUUCUUGCGGUGCGCCGUUGUUGAUUAUCGUAGUGCGGUCCACACGCGCUUUCUUUGUGCCCGGCUCAUGAGAAGUGUUGUACUUUCGCCGCUCCCGCAUCGGCUCACAGUGCACGGAAGAAUGUGUUGAUAGUUGUGCUAUCGCGUGCUGUAGUUCACCGCAAUUCAACACUACGCUGGACGGACUGUUGGUGCAGUCGAUGCGGCGUGAACGGACACGAAGGAGCGCUCGCCUCAGAAGGGAUGUCACAAUUUCCUGAGACGGAGGCAUCUCUGCACCACAAAGGAGACUGCGGCACUAUGCAGCCUGAACAGCACGACAAAGCAUCUGAUCUGCCUGCUUUGACAAGAUGUGGCUGGGCCUGCAGAAAGAGUGUAAGCACACUACUGUGUUGCUGAUCAGUGCUGGUGCUGAUCUCUACGUCUGAGUUGGCCUCACAACGUCCAGGCGCCACUGUGCUUUGCUUCAUUGACAAGGUGUGGCUGGGCCUGCAGAAAAGCUGUAAGCAGACUGCAGUGUUGCUGAUCAGUGCUGAUCUCCGCGUCCGAGUUGGUCCCACAAUAUCCAGGCACCACGGUGCUUUCACAAGAGGCAUACGAGCACUUUGUUUCAAAAACGCCAAGCACCGUGGAUACAGAGGCAAGGAGGCUGAAGGACCUGAACAAGCACCUGGCCACCAUGCUUCGGGAUGCAAAAUAAAGAUGGUUUGUGUUAA
Long non-coding RNA from Dermacentor andersoni, 771 nucleotides. RefSeq lists it as uncharacterized. The record is from RefSeq and is a predicted model, not a curated record. Lineage: Eukaryota; Metazoa; Arthropoda; Arachnida; Ixodida; Ixodidae.